Molecule: ribosomal RNA, 460 nt
Filed under: uncultured bacterium
Lineage: Bacteria
Description: partial 16S ribosomal RNA
Rfam family: Bacterial small subunit ribosomal RNA
Source: RNAcentral
CCUACGGGAGGCUGCAGUGAGGAAUAUUGGUCAAUGGACGAGAGUCUGAACCAGCCAAGUAGCGUGAAGGAUGACUGCCCUAUGGGUUGUAAACUUCUUUUAUAUGGGAAUAAAAUGUUCCACGUGUGGGAUUUUGUAUGUACCAUAUGAAUAAGGAUCGGCUAACUCCGUGCCAGCAGCCGCGGUAAUACGGAGGAUCCGAGCGUUAUCCGGAUUUAUUGGGUUUAAAGGGAGCGUAGGUGGAUUGUUAAGUCAGUUGUGAAAGUUUGCGGCUCAACCGUAAAAUUGCAGUUGAAACUGGCAGUCUUGAGUACAGUAGAGGUGGGCGGAAUGCGUGGUGUAGCGGUGAAAUGCUUAGAGAUCACGAAGAACUCCGAUUGCGAAGGCAGUUCACUGGACUGCAACUGACACUGAGGCUCGAAAGUGUGGGUAUCAAACAGGAUUAGAUACCCCUGUAGUC